This 460-nucleotide ribosomal RNA is filed under the name uncultured bacterium. Its description in RNAcentral is "partial 16S ribosomal RNA". It matches the Rfam family "Bacterial small subunit ribosomal RNA", at positions 338 to 795 of the family's 1533-position model. The record is from RNAcentral.
CCUACGGGAGGCAGCAGUGAGGAAUAUUGGUCAAUGGGCGCAAGCCUGAACCAGCCAAGUCGCGUGAAGGAUGACUGCCCUACGGGUUGUAAACUUCUUUUGUAAAGGAAUAAAGUGAGGCACGUGUGCCUUUUUGUAUGUACUUUAUGAAUAAGGAUCGGCUAACUCCGUGCCAGCAGCCGCGGUAAUACGGAGGAUCCGAGCGUUAUCCGGAUUUAUUGGGUUUAAAGGGAGCGUAGACGGGUGGUUAAGUCAGUUGUGAAAGUUUGAGGCUCAACCGUAGAAUUGCAAUUGAUACUGGUAGUCUUGAGUACAGUUGAGGUAGGCGGAAUUCGUGGUGUAGCGGUGAAAUGCUUAGAUAUCACGAAGAACACCGAUUGCGAAGGCAGCUUACUAAACUGCCACUGACAUUGAGGCUCGAAAGUGUGGGUAGCAAACAGGAUUAGAUACCCUUGUAGUC